CCUACGGUGGCAGCAGUGGGGAAUAUUGGACAAUGGGCGCAAGCCUGAUCCAGCAAUGCCGCGUGUGUGAAGAAGGCCUGCGGGUUGUAAAGCACUUUAAGCAGGCAAGAAGGCUUCAGGGUUAAUACCCUUGGGGAUUGACGUUACCUGCAGAAUAAGCACCGGCUAACUCCGUGCCAGCAGCCGCGGUAAUACGGAGGGUGCGAGCGUUGAGCGGAAUUACUGGGCGUAAGGCGCGCGAAGGCGGUUGUGAAAGCCCCGGGCUUAACCUGGGAACUGCAGUGGAUACUGGAAGCUAGAGUAUGGUAGAGGAGAGUGGAAUUUCCGGUGUAGCAGUGAAAUGCGUAGAGAUCGGAAGGAACACCAGUGGCGAAGGCGGCUCUCUGGACUAAUACUGACGCUGAGGUGCGAAAGCGUGGGGAGCAAACAGGAUUAGAUACCCGGGUAGUC
RNAcentral lists this ribosomal RNA (450 nucleotides) under uncultured bacterium. RNAcentral's name for it is "partial 16S ribosomal RNA". It matches the Rfam family "Bacterial small subunit ribosomal RNA", at positions 338 to 795 of the family's 1533-position model. The record is from RNAcentral.